This 373-nucleotide ribosomal RNA is filed under the name uncultured bacterium. Its description in RNAcentral is "bacterial SSU rRNA". It matches the Rfam family "Bacterial small subunit ribosomal RNA", at positions 521 to 896 of the family's 1533-position model. The record is from RNAcentral.
UAAUACGGAGGAUCCAAGCGUUAUCCGGAUUUAUUGGGUUUAAAGGGUGCGUAGGCGGAUUAGUAAGUCAGUGGUGAAAGCCUGCAGCUCAACUGUAGAACUGCCAUUGAUACUGCUAGUCUUGAAUAUAGUUGAGGUAGGCGGAAUAUGACAUGUAGCGGUGAAAUGCUUAGAUAUGUCAUAGAACACCGAUUGCGAAGGCAGCUUGCUAAACUAUUAUUGACGCUGAGGCACGAAAGCGUGGGUAGCAAACAGGAUUAGAUACCCUGGUAGUCCACGCCCUAAACGAUGAUCACUCGAUGUUAGCGAUACACAGUUAGCGUCUAAGGGAAACCAUUAAGUGAUCCACCUGGGGAGUACGGUCGCAAGACUG